UGGGUGGUAAAUUUCAUCUAAAGCUAAAUAUAGGCUUGAGACCGAUAGCAAACAAGUACCAUGAGGGAAAGAUGAAAAGGACUUUGAAAAGAGAGUUAAAAGUGCUUGAAAUCGCUGAAAGGGAAGCGAAUGGAACCAGUCUUCUGGCUGAGAUUGUUGCGUGCUACUGUGAUGCCUGGCUGCUUCAACGCAAGUGUUGUAGUUAGAGUUGAUCAGCUGUGCGUGAUGUUUCUCAGCUUGUUAGUCAACCUUUGUUCGUGCUUGGGGAUAACUGCAGGUUCCAUGGUCUUCCCUGCGGGGUUGAUCUCGUGCCUGUUAGGACUCAGGUGUGUACACUUGGUGACAAAAUGGUUCUCUUCGACCCGUCUUGAAACACGGACCAAGGAGUCUAGCACAUGUGCAAGUUCACAGGUGGCAAGCCUGCUUGCGCAAUGAAGGUGACUGCUGGGAUAUUUGCACCAGCAACCGACCAAUCAAUUGAGAGAAGUUUGAGUAUGAGCAUAUGUGUU
Molecule: ribosomal RNA, 509 nt
Filed under: Pelagodinium bei
Lineage: Eukaryota; Dinophyceae; Suessiales; Suessiaceae
Description: eukaryotic LSU rRNA
Rfam family: Eukaryotic large subunit ribosomal RNA
Source: RNAcentral